AGUAAAAGUCGUAACAAGGUUUCCGUAGGUGAACCUGCGGAAGGAUCAUUAAAGAGUAAGGGUGCUCAGCGCCCGACCUCCAACCCUUUGUUGUUAAAACUACCUUGUUGCUUUGGCGGGACCGCUCGGUCUCGAGCCGCUGGGGAUUCGUCCCAGGCGAGCGCCCGCCAGAGUUAAACCAAACUCUUGUUAUUAAACCGGUCGUCUGAGUUAAAAUUUUGAAUAAAUCAAAACUUUCAACAACGGAUCUCUUGGUUCUCGCAUCGAUGAAGAACGCAGCGAAAUGCGAUAAGUAAUGUGAAUUGCAGAAUUCAGUGAAUCAUCGAAUCUUUGAACGCACAUUGCGCCCCUUGGUAUUCCGAGGGGCAUGCCUGUUCGAGCGUCAUUACACCACUCAAGCUAUGCUUGGUAUUGGGUGCCGUCCUUAGUUGGGCGCGCCUUAAAGACCUCGGCGAGGCCUCACCGGCUUUAGGCGUAGUAGAAUUUAUUCGAACGUCUGUCAAAGGAGAGGACUUCUGCCGACUGAAACCUUUUAUUUUUCUAGGUUGACCUCGGAUCAGGUAGGGAUACCCGCUGAACUUAAGCAUAUCAAUAAGCGGAGGA
RNAcentral lists this ribosomal RNA (603 nucleotides) under uncultured fungus. RNAcentral's name for it is "eukaryotic LSU rRNA". The stretch from base 232 to 385 matches the Rfam family "5.8S ribosomal RNA". The record is from RNAcentral. Lineage: Eukaryota; Fungi.